GGAAGUAAAAGUCUAACAAGGUUUCCGUAGGUGAACCUGCGGAAGGAUCAUUAUUGUAUAACCGAGGUGCGAGGGCUGUCGCUGACCCGAAAGGUCGUGCACGCCCGAGUGCCCUCACACACAUCCAUCUCACCCCUAUGUGCACCACCGCGUGGGUCCCCCUUUGGCUUGUUCGGAGGGGGGCUUACGUUUUCACACAAACUUUGUAUGCAGUGUAGAAUGUAUUUUUUGUUUUUGCGAUCACGCAAUCAAUACAACUUUCAAGGACGGAUCUCUUGGCUCUC
This 284-nucleotide unclassified non-coding RNA is filed under the name plant metagenome. RNAcentral describes it as "partial contains small subunit ribosomal RNA and internal transcribed spacer 1". The stretch from base 1 to 53 matches the Rfam family "Eukaryotic small subunit ribosomal RNA", at positions 1778 to 1831 of the family's 1831-position model. The record is from RNAcentral.